Molecule: ribosomal RNA, 1916 nt
Filed under: human gut metagenome
Description: bacterial LSU rRNA
Rfam family: Bacterial large subunit ribosomal RNA
Source: RNAcentral
UCAAGCUACAAAGGGCGCAGGGCGAAUGCCUUGGCACUGGGAGCCGAUGAAGGACGUGGUUAACUGCGAUAAGCUGCGGGGAGUCGUAAGCAGACAUUAUAUCCGCAGAUUUCCGAAUGGGGCAACCCGGCUGAUUGCAGAUCAGUCAACAUAUGCUGAAUAAAAUAGGUAUAUGUGGGGAACCGCCUGAACUGAAACAUCUAAGUAGGGCGAGGAAGAGAAAUCAAACGAGAUUCCGCUAGUAGUGGCGAGCGAACGCGGAAGAGGCCAAACCGAGAGUAGUAAUACUUUUGGGGUUCGGACUGAGUACGGUAUUGACAAAGGUUAGUGGAAUGAAAUGGGAAGUUCAACCAUAGAGCGUGAGAGUCGCGUAUACGAAAACUUGAGUCAGCCAUCAGUAUCCAGAGUACCGCAGGACACGAGGAACCCUGUGGGAAGUCGGGGGGACCACCCUCCAAGCCUAAAUACUACCUGAUGACCGAUAGAGGAGCAGUACCGUGAGGGAAAGGUGAAAAGAACCCCGGGAGGGGAGUGAAAUAGUACCUGAAACCUUGUGCUUACAAGCAGUCACAGCCCGUUAAAGGGUGGUGGCGUACUUUUUGUAGAACGGUCCGGCGAGUUAUAGUCACUAGCAAGCUUAAGGUAUUCAGUACCGGAGGCGCAGGGAAACCAAGUCUGAACAGGGCGUAAGAAGUUAGUGGCCAUAGACCCGAAACCAUGUGACCUAGCCAUGAGCAGGAUGAAGUGGAGGUAAAGCUCCAUGGAGGUCCGAACGCACGUUCGUUGCAAUGACCGGCGAUGACUUGUGGCUAGCGGUGAAAUUCCAAUCGAACUUGGAGAUAGCUGGUUCUCCCCGAAAUAGCUUUAGGGCUAGCGUUGGCAAUGAGUUUCCCGGAGGUAAAGCACUGAAUGAGCUAGGGGGCGCGAGCUUACUGAACUCUAUCAAACUAAGAAUGCCGGAGAAAUGCUUACCAGCAGUCAGACUGCGAGUAAUAAAAUCCGUGGUCAAAAGGGUAACAGCCCAGACCCACAGCUAAGGUCCCCAAUAUACGCUAAGUGGAAAACGAUGUGAGAUCGCAUAAACAACCAGGAUGUUGGCUUAGAGGCAGCCACUCGUUCAAAGAGUGCGUAAUAGCUCACUGGUCGAGUGAUUUUGCGCGGAAAAUUUAACGGGGCUAAGCGUAUAACCGAAGCUUGGGCUUGCACGAAAGUGCAGGGGUAGGGGAGCGUCGUGUACGGGGUGAAGUCGCACCGGAAGGAGCGGUGGACUGUACACGAGUGAGAAUGCCGGAAUGAGUAGCGAGAAUUAUGUGAGAAUCAUAAUGGCCGAAAAUCUAAGGUUUCUUGGGGAAGGUUCGUCCGCCCAAGGUAAGCCGGGAGCUAAGGCGAGGCCGCAAGGCGUAGUCGAUGCACAUACGGUAGAAAUUCCGUAGCCACCGAACUUUAAACCAGAAGGACACUUGCAGAUAGCGGAACCCAGCCGUUGGUUGAGCUGGGCGAAAGGGACUGAAAUAUAGUAGGGAAGUCCGCGAUGCUGUGAGGCGAGAAAAGCUCUGGUGUAUACUAAGGUGCCCGUACCGCAAACCGACACAGGUAGAUGAGGAGAGAAUCCUAAGGCCAACGGGAGAAGGGUUGUUAAGGAACUCGGCAAAUUGACCCCGUAACUUCGGAAGAAGGGGAGCCUCGAAAGAGGCCGCAGUGAAUAGGCCCAAGCAACUGUUUACCAAAAACACAGGUCUAUGCUAAAUCGAAAGAUGACGUAUAUGGGCUGACGCCUGCCCGGUGCCGGAAGGUUAAGAGGAGAGCUUAGCGCAAGCGAAGGUUUGAAUUGAAGCCCCGGUAAACGGCGGCCGUAACUAUAACGGUCCUAAGGUAGCGAAAUUCCUUGUCAGGUAAGUUCUGACCCGCACGAAUGG